Molecule: ribosomal RNA, 253 nt
Filed under: uncultured bacterium
Lineage: Bacteria
Description: partial 16S ribosomal RNA
Rfam family: Bacterial small subunit ribosomal RNA
Source: RNAcentral
UACGUAGGGUGCAGGCGUUAAUCGGAAUUACUGGGCGUAAAGGGCUCGUAGGCGGCCAACUAAGUCGGACGUGAAAUCCCCAGGCUCAACCUGGGAACUGCGUCCGAUACUGGAUGGCUUGAAUUCGGGAGAGGGAUGCAGAAUUCCAGGUGUAGCGGUGAAAUGCGUAGAUAUCUGGAGGAAUACCGGUGGCGAAGGCGGCAUCCUGGACCGACAUUGACGCUGAUGAGCGAAAGCCAGGGGAGCAAACGGG